This 301-nucleotide ribosomal RNA is filed under the name uncultured bacterium. RNAcentral describes it as "partial 16S ribosomal RNA". It matches the Rfam family "Bacterial small subunit ribosomal RNA", at positions 509 to 807 of the family's 1533-position model. The record is from RNAcentral.
CAGUAGCCACGGUAAUACAGAGGGUGCGAGCGUUAAUCGGAUUUACUGGGCGUAAAGCGUGCGUAGGCGGCUUCUUAAGUCGGAUGUGAAAUCCCUGAGCUUAACUUAGGAAUUGCAUUCGAUACUGGGAAGCUAGAGUAUGGGAGAGGAUGGUAGAAUUCCAGGUGUAGCGGUGAAAUGCGUAGAGAUCUGGAGGAAUACCGAUGGCGAAGGCAGACAUCUGGCCUAAUACUGACGCUGAGGUACGAAAGCAUGGGGAGCAAACAGGAUUAGAUACCCCGGUAGUCCCUGUCUCUUAUAC